RNAcentral lists this transfer RNA (62 nucleotides) under Bambusiphaga taibaishana. RNAcentral describes it as "tRNA-Asp". Lineage: Eukaryota; Metazoa; Arthropoda; Insecta; Hemiptera; Delphacidae. The record is from RNAcentral.
AAGAAUUUAGUUUAAAAAAAACUUUAAUAUGUCAAAUUAAAAAUACUCAAUUGUAAUUCUUU